This 30-nucleotide transfer RNA is filed under the name Rhinoceros sondaicus (Javan rhinoceros). RNAcentral describes it as "partial tRNA-Ser". The record is from RNAcentral. Lineage: Eukaryota; Metazoa; Chordata; Mammalia; Perissodactyla; Rhinocerotidae.
GCCCCCAUAUUUGACAAUAUGGCUUUCUCA